UAGGGAAUCUUCGGCAAUGGACGAAAGUCUGACCGAGCAACGCCGCGUGAGUGAAGAAGGUUUUCGGAUCGUAAAACUCUGUUGGUAGAGAAGAACAAGGACGUUAUUAACUGAACGUCCCCUGACGGUAUCUAACCAGAAAGCCACGGCUAACUACGUGCCAGCAGCCGCGGUAAUACGUAGGUGGCAAGCGUUGUCCGGAUUUAUUGGGCGUAAAGCGAUCGCAGGCGGUUUCUUAAGUUUGAUGUGAAAGCCCCCGGCUCAACCGGGGAGGGUCAUUGGAAACUGGGAAACUUGAGUGUAGAAGAGGAGAGUGGAAUUCCAUGUGUAGCGGUGAAAUGCGUAGAUAUAUGAAGGAACACCAGUGGCGAAGGCGGCUCUCUGGUCCGUCACUGACGCUGAGGCUCGAAAGCGUGGGGAGCAAACAGG
RNAcentral lists this ribosomal RNA (429 nucleotides) under Gemmatimonadota bacterium. RNAcentral describes it as "Gemmatimonadetes bacterium partial 16S ribosomal RNA". It matches the Rfam family "Bacterial small subunit ribosomal RNA", at positions 355 to 776 of the family's 1533-position model. The record is from RNAcentral. Lineage: Bacteria; Pseudomonadati; Gemmatimonadota.